UUUGUUCAAUAACAAUAGUACAAAAACUUUCAAAACUAAAACAAUUCAAAAAUGAUUUCAAUGUAUAUCAUAUAUAUCUUUUAAUCCACAGCCUUAGCGACUAAGGUUACAAUAGCCCUGUAACAUGGCCCAAAAGUUUGAUAACGUUAUGAUACACACCCUACUAAGGUAUCUAUAAAAAUGCAUGCUCCCCGAAGGGCAUCUAAAAGGUGUGCGCCUUAGUAGGUCCUAUAUUAGCUCCGGAACUAAACGUAAUCAAUAACGGGUUCUAUACAUAGUCAGACUGAGGAUUUCAAAAACUUUUCUCAAUAUUAUCGAUAAUAUAAAUGAUACUUUUUCACAGUUCAAAAUCAUAUAAUCUCAUUCACAAUUCAAAAAUAAAUACUUGAUCCGAAUUUUGAAAUAAAAGAACAUAACAAUUUAAUUUAAAUGGAAGCCUUAAAUAAAAAUAACGAAUUUUGAAACUGUACAUUUAGGCAUCCAAAUAAUUAAUAAGACAUACUUAAAAGUAACGAUAAUCUUAAAAAACACUAAAUAGUUCGAAAAACCACUUACCUCGAUAUUGCAAAACACGAAAUUAAAAACGAACAAAUCCUAAAUAUAAAAUUAAGACAAAUAGAAUUAUUAGAAUACAAUAUUAUAACACAAUCAUACUCUUUAUUCGAAUAUUAUGCACAUAAAUCUUAAAUUUUAAAUAAAUUCGUAGUUAAUUAUUAUAAAAAUUGAUUACAAAAUUAACCAUAUAUAUAAGGCAAAUAUCAUCUCAUAAUAAAAAAUAAGGGUUUAAGUUUUACCUUAUUGAAUUUUCUUUUUUUCUUCUUCACUGUUCUACAGUACUCCAAAGCCAAAUAAAUUUUACGUUCUUUUCUCUCUCUAGUUGUUUAAAUAUAUGUAAUUCCUUUGCAAUAUAGGUUACUAGGUAAAAGAGUCCUUUUUAAAUUAAGAAUUUGUUAUACUUGAAUGACUUUUCUUAUCCUUAUAGGUUUUAGAUAUGUAUAAAUAAUUAUUAGUUAUACUUUUAUUAUCUAAUUAUAUUAUUUUAUUAUUUUAUUAUCUUUUAUCUUUUAUCUUUUUUUUAAACCGGGUAUUACAUUCUACCCACCUUAAAAUAAUUUGGCCCUCCAAAUUCCCAAAUUACAAUUUCAAAGAAAACACGAAUAUCACAGAAUCAAGAAAUUCAUUAUCUAAUUACUAAAUGCAAUUAAUAAAAGAGUUUCAUACCUUAAUUUUGGUUGCCUGAAAGCUGAAACACACGUCCUCGAUUUGGUCCUAGGCUUGCCAAUGUUAUUUCUUCCUCUUUUUCAUCUCUUUUCGGUGGAGGGUUCUUGGGGCAUUGUGCAAUCCUAUGGCCGAAAUCUCCACAAUGAAAACACGUUCCCGUAUUCCAACGACAUUCCUUAUCUAGGUGGUUUCUACCACACCUCGAACACUUCAGUUUGUUCUCUUAAUUCCAUUGGUUUCCUCUAAACUUAGUGGUUUGCGUAUUCAACUUCUUUGUAGGUACCCCAUGGCUAGACUCUUCCCCAGAUGGUUCGUCCCUCUUAUUGUUCUUCCCUUUCUCCAUUUCCGCUAAGCCCUUCUCGAUCACUAACGCCUUAUUGAGCACCGCAUCAUAUGUGGGCAGCUCAAAAGACGCCACUCCAUGUCUUAUGUCGGCCCGUAAUCCAUCCUCUAACCUUCGCGCUGCGCUUUCGCCGCCUCAUCUGCCACAAAGGUCGGUGACAUAUUGGCAAGCUUCGCGAAUUCAGCUUCAUAUUGAGCAACUGUCUUGCUCCCUUGUUCGAGCCUAAUAAAUUCUCUCUCCUUUUGUGCCCGAAUUAUUCUAGGAAAGUAUUUGUUAGUAAAUGCCUCGUUGAACAUGGUCCAUGUAUAGGGUUCAGGAUUCCCUUCAUGAUUUCUUUUCUCCAUAAGCCACCAAUCAUAUGCCACACCCUGAAGCUGGUAAACUGCCAACGUCACCUUAUUAGCCUCACUACUCCCUAGCAAAUCAAAUGCCUUCUCCAUUUCUUGAAUCCACUUCUCAACUAUGGAAGGGUCCGUAGCCCCUUCAAAGAUUGGCGAAUUCAAUCGCUUGAAUUCCGCUACUAUGCCACGUUGCCCAGGUUGUUGGUUCUUCACUAGCUGAGCUAAAGUAGUAGCCAGCUGAGUCAGACCAUUAGCGCCAAAAUUGGUGUUAGUAGGGUUGCUUCUUCUAGGCGACAUUUUCACUACAAAAAGAAAUCCCCACUCAACAACACUAUACAAAACUAAUAACGAAUAAAAUAAAUAUCCAUUCAGCCUUGAGUACCAAACGUCAAACAAAACAUAGAUUUCUUACCAUAUUCUCUAUUUAAUUUUAAAAUAAUUAAAUUUAGUCAAUACUCUUACCCAUAGCUAACUCCCAAAACCACUCCCCAAGAAAUAUGUAGGUUUUUCAACCUAACACAUUGCGAGGGGACACCGCUUUGAUACCACCUCUGUAACACCCCGAACCCGAUAUAGGCCCAAAGUGUUACACGUCGCAAGCCCAUAGGCCCGCAAGGUAACAAUAUCAAUAACGCGCAGCCCAAACAAAAUAACUUAACAAUAAUCUCAACUUAAAAUCCAACAAUAAAUAUAUUUUAAAUCAAUCCAAAUGAAAUACUAAUAAAUACCACAUUCAAAUAAUGGAGACCCAGCUCCUCGAAACUAAGAGUUUUAUCAAAAUCCAUCAACAAAAGAAAAACAUCUAAAACUAAACUCCAACUAUUUCAAGCGUAUCAAAUAAAGGCUCAGCUUUCAAUGAUGGGACCUGUAAAAAAAUUUGUAAGGGGGUGAACGAUGAAGCCCAGCAAGUAGCAAUCUUCUCUAUCUAGCCGAAUCAAGUACAAUUUGCAAAAUACUUUUUCGAAAUAACUUUUUGUUCAAUAACAAUAGUACAAAAACUUUCAAAACUAAAACAAUUCAAAAAUGAUUUCAAUGUAUAUCAUAUAUAUCUUUUAAUCCACAGCCUUAACGACUAAGGUUACAAUAGCCCUGUAACACGACCCAAAAGUUCGAUAAUGUUAUGAUACGCACCCUACUAAGGUAUCUAUAAAAAUGCACGCUCCCCGAAGGGCAUCUAAAAGGUGUGCGCCUUAGUAGGUCCUAUAUUAGCUCCGGAACUAAACGUAAUCAAUAACGGGUUCUAUACAUAGUCAGACUGAGGAUUUCAAAAACUUUUCUCAAUAUUAUCGAUAAUAUAAACAAUACUUUUUCACAGUUCAAAAUCAUAUAAUCUCAUUCACAGUUCGAAAAUAAAUACUUGAUCCGAAUUUUGAAAUAAAAGAACAUAACAAUUUAAUUUAAAUGGAAG
This 3313-nucleotide long non-coding RNA is filed under the name Panax ginseng (ginseng). Its description in RNAcentral is "long non-coding RNA (PGIN_LNC010454)". Lineage: Eukaryota; Viridiplantae; Streptophyta; Magnoliopsida; Apiales; Araliaceae. The record is from RNAcentral.